GGACUACUAGGGUAUCUAAUCCCGUUUGCUCCCCUGGCUUUCGCGCCUCAGCGUCAGAUGAGGUCCAGCGUGCCGCCUUCGCCACCGGAGUUCCAGAUGAUAUCAACGCAUUUCACCGCUCCACCAUCUGUUCCGCACGCCCCUACCUCCCUCGAGGCCCGCAGUAUCCACGGCCAUUCUCCAGUUAGGCUGGAGGAUUUCACCACAGACUUGCGAGCCCGCCUACGCGCCCUUUAAGCCCAGUGAUUCCGAACAACGUUCGCACGGUUCGUCUUACCGCGGCUGCUGGCAC
This 292-nucleotide ribosomal RNA is filed under the name uncultured Planctomycetota bacterium. RNAcentral describes it as "uncultured planctomycete partial 16S ribosomal RNA". The record is from RNAcentral. Lineage: Bacteria; Pseudomonadati; Planctomycetota.